Molecule: long non-coding RNA, 2582 nt
Filed under: Homo sapiens (human)
Lineage: Eukaryota; Metazoa; Chordata; Mammalia; Primates; Hominidae
Description: HSALNT0344396
Source: RNAcentral
UUAUUGUAGUGACCUGGAACUGAACUCACAAUAUCUUUGAGAUAUAACUAUAUAUAUUUAUAUAUAGGGUAUCUAUUUCUCAGCCGGUAAUCACUUCUCUCCUCCCCUUGACCCCUUCUUUGUGAUGAAGUAUGCUUUCCCAUGCUCUUUGAUGUUGAGCUUGGCUAUGUGACUUGCUUUGGUCAAUGAAAUAUUUGCAGAUGUCUUUGGCUUUACUUUCAUGCUGUGGUGAUUGGCUAUGAAGAGAGCAUGCUCCAGGUAUCCUGGACUCCAGGAUGAACACACGUAAUGCAGACCUGAACCCACCCUGCACCCCUGCAGCAAAACCGCCCCACUGAGCUCACGCUUAGGUCAGCCGAACUGCAGUGGACCUACAGACCCAUGAGCGUAGGGGGAAAUGCCUGCUCUUAGCAGCCACUGAAUCCUGUCCUGAUUUGUUGAUGCAGGAUGAUGAUGGUGGUAGCUGACUCAAAUGGCCUCUAUCAAAAUUAAUUCCUUGUCCACAUAUAGAACUUGGGAACUGAUUUUUGGAGGGUUUAAAAGAAUCAUCCUGACCCAGCUUUAAUUUUAAAUUCCAUGUAAAGUUUAAGCUUGACAUUUCAAAGUUUCUGAUUUCUAUUUAACUUCUUGGCUCUCAGUGGUAUCUACUCACUGCUCAUUGAGAGUUACCUGUAAAUCUCCCCAAUUCCAUUCACCACUACAAAAUGAUUAAGUGCUGACUCCCAUUGUUCUCUUCCAAUGGUAAGGCCAACAUGCAGUCUCAGAACAGUCAUUAGAUGUGAAAUGAGGCUGAACACAACUGGAAACCUCGUGGUGCUGGGUCUAAGCCCUCCCAAGUGGAUCCCCUUUGUAUAAAGUUCUUUCAUGUUUUGGGGUGAUUUUUUGACCCAUAUAUUUGUCCCAAGCCGUGUAAUAAGCUUUGCUCGUGGUAUUCCCUAAGACAAGAUCAAAUAAUUUCCCAAAGUUCCUCACCUGCGCUAGAGGACCUGUGUUUCUCUGCUCCUCGUAGCCUGGCAGCAGAGACCCGGAGUGGCCUAGGGCGAGGCUGUGACUGCAUCACCUGUCCAAUGCCACAUCCUUCUUCCUCACGCACAUGGCCCAUGAAAGCCAGAACAUGAUCAGAAUAUGCUCAGAACACGCUCAGAACAUGCUCAGAGCACACUUGGAACAUGCUCAGAACACACUCAGAACACACUUAGAACACGCUCAGACCAUGCUCAGAACAUGCUCAGAACACGCUCAGAACAGACUCGGAAUACACUCAGAACAUACUCAGGACAUGCUCAGAAUAGGCUCAGAACACAGAACAUGCUCAGAACAUGCUCAGAACACACUGAGAACAUGUUUAUAACACGCUCAGAACCGACUCAGAAUACACUCAGAACAUACCCAGAACAUGCUCAGAACAUGCUCGAAACACGCUCAGAACAUGCUCAGAACACACGCAGAACAUGCUCAGAACAUGCUCAUGCUUAGAAACAACUUGCUCGGAACAUGUUUGGAACAUGCUCAGAACACACUCAGAACAUGUUUAUAACAUGCUCACAACAGGCUCAGAACACACUUGGAACAUGCUUGGAACAUGCUCAGAGCACACUCAGAACAUGCUUGGAACAUGCUCAGAACACGCUCAGAACAGGCUCAGAACACACUCAGAACAUGCUUGGAACAUGCUCAGAACACACUCAACACGCUCAGAACAGGCUCGGAACACAUUCAGAACACAUUCAGAACACGCUCAGAACAUGCUCAGAGCAUGCUCAGAACACGCUCAGCUCUGCUCUGUGUCAGCUUCCUGAGUAGCCCCACCCAUGACGCCUUCGUAGGCAAGCGGGGGCUUUCCAAGUCCUCAUUCAUGCUGCUUUCCGGUGCAAGAAUACUGCCUCAAGGAAACAUUAAAAUUAUCAUAGAGAAGUAGAGAAAAUACCAGGAUUUUCAGGAGUGGACUUGACAGACGUUUGCCUGAUGUGUGAAACGGGUGGCUGUAGGAGAAGGUGUCCAUCACACUUACGGGCAGACGGAGAAGCUCAUUCGCUCAUGCUGUCAACCCUCGCUGGGUGUCUAGCAGGGACCAGACGCAGGUCUCAGCCCUGGGAGUGCAGGGGGCACAUGGUCAGCAUUUUGUGUAACACCAUGUUCCAAAUCAAUGUAAAAACCGCGAUAACAAAAUUAUUACUCGCCAUAACUGAAGCCCAUCCUGUGGCCCACAGAGAGAGCCAGGGAGUCUCAGGUGUGUGUGCGAGAAGAGGUUCAACUCUUCCCUCCACUGCCUCCUCAUAGAGGAAGGACCGGGGGCUCGCACCCAAUAAUAUACAGUGAUAGGAAGAACUCCUGUGAUAUCAGAAGAAUCAACUCCAGAGGUGUUCGACAGGACUGCGUUUCAGAGACUUCCUUUUGGUACGCCCAGCCUCUUAAAGCCUAACACAUAAAUGGAGCCUCUUCUGGAGGGAGGAAAAAAGACCAGAAUGCAUUGCACGCAAUGUGCUGCCUCAUACCCGAUGUACAGGAGUCUCCGCAGUGGGAAUCCUGCCAUGGGCACUCGCAAACCACAUCUUCGACCACACAAUGAGCUUCAGGUUUGU